Molecule: transfer RNA, 71 nt
Filed under: Phrynosoma platyrhinos (Desert horned lizard)
Lineage: Eukaryota; Metazoa; Chordata; Lepidosauria; Squamata; Phrynosomatidae
Description: tRNA-OTHER
Source: RNAcentral
GCCAGCCUGGCAUAGUGGUUUGAGCACUGGACUAUGACUCUGGAGACCAGGGUUCGAUUCCCAGCUUGGCC